UGAGAGUGUAUCCAAGUAGUUGCUGGAAAAGUCUAGAGCUUGAGGAAGAAGAAAAAGAGCAUCACGUAGCGGGCAAUAGCCGUAACGCGCUAAAACUCGUGUAGGAAAAUCUUUUAUUUGGGGCCAAUCCAGGAAAGUAGCACCUGAGAGAGACAUAUAAAGGUAGGGUUUAAAAUUCCACAAGAGAGAGAAGAAAAAAAGAGAGGCUUACUUUUGAGCGUGUUCUUGUGGACUUGUUCCUUGUUCUACAGGUUUUGCUCGAUCGAUCGAUCCAUGGGAAAGAGGAGAGUGGAGAUCAAC
This 300-nucleotide long non-coding RNA is filed under the name Selaginella moellendorffii. RNAcentral describes it as "long non-coding RNA (SMOE_LNC001128)". Lineage: Eukaryota; Viridiplantae; Streptophyta; Lycopodiopsida; Selaginellales; Selaginellaceae. The record is from RNAcentral.